AGUUUUAUAGUUAAAUUUAUAACAUUAAAUUGCAAGUUUAAAAUUAUAUUAGCGUAUGUAUUAAAAUUU
This 69-nucleotide transfer RNA is filed under the name Blasticotoma filiceti. RNAcentral's name for it is "tRNA-Cys". Lineage: Eukaryota; Metazoa; Arthropoda; Insecta; Hymenoptera; Blasticotomidae. The record is from RNAcentral.